This is a long non-coding RNA of Carcharodon carcharias (great white shark), 429 nucleotides long. RefSeq lists it as uncharacterized. The record is from RefSeq and is a predicted model, not a curated record. The transcript is spliced from 3 exons. Lineage: Eukaryota; Metazoa; Chordata; Chondrichthyes; Lamniformes; Lamnidae.
CAUCAUGCCAAGGAGAGAAGGCAUUGUUCUCCAGCUAUAGGAGCAUCCCAUGACGAUUAGUAAGUGGAUCUGGACAGAGGUGGCUGACCUGAACCUGCAAUCGUGUAUUUAAAAAAAAAUGUUUGAUGGUUUCACUAGAGCAUCAAGGGAGAAGACAAUGCAUAAUGCUCGUGAGAAGGCUAAGAUUGGAGACCUGGAUGAAGAACUCAAGCCAGCAAGAAGUCAUGAUGAACAGUGACUAGCUUAUGACCAUUGGGUAAGAUAAGGUCCUUUUCAACAAUGAGAUUCUUGAAAAAGAGAUGUUGGUGGAAGAUAAUUGUUUUGAGCAUGCAAUAUUAUGUGCUAUAUCCAUCAUAGUUUCCAGAUUUGACACACCACUUCGGUUAGAAAGCAAAGCAGAGAGGUAUACACGCGGUGAAACUACACUAG